RNAcentral lists this ribosomal RNA (253 nucleotides) under uncultured bacterium. Its description in RNAcentral is "partial 16S ribosomal RNA". It matches the Rfam family "Bacterial small subunit ribosomal RNA", at positions 524 to 776 of the family's 1533-position model. The record is from RNAcentral.
UACGUAGGGUGCAAGCGUUGUCCGGAAUUAUUGGGCGUAAAGAGCUCGUAGGCGGUCUGUCGCGUCGGCUGUGAAAUCCCGGAGCUCAACUCCGGGUCUGCAGUCGAUACGGGCAGACUGGAGUACUGCAGGGGAGACUGGAAUUCCUGGUGUAGCGGUGAAAUGCGCAGAUAUCAGGAGGAACACCGGUGGCGAAGGCGGGUCUCUGGGCAGUAACUGACGCUGAGGAGCGAAAGCGUGGGGAGCGAACAGG